UACGUAGGGUGCGAGCGUUGUCCGGAAUUAUUGGGCGUAAAGGGCUCGUAGGCGGUCUGUCGCGUCGAAAGUGAAAACCCAGGGCUUAACCCUGGGCCUGCUUCCGAUACGGGCAGACUAGAGGUAUGCAGGGGAGAACGGAAUUCCCGGUGUAGCGGUGAAAUGCGCAGAUAUCGGGAGGAACACCGGUGGCGAAGGCGGGUCUCUGGGCAACAACUGACGCUGAGGAGCGAAAGCGUGGGGAGCGAACAGG
RNAcentral lists this ribosomal RNA (253 nucleotides) under uncultured bacterium. Its description in RNAcentral is "partial 16S ribosomal RNA". It matches the Rfam family "Bacterial small subunit ribosomal RNA", at positions 524 to 776 of the family's 1533-position model. The record is from RNAcentral.